GAUGACAGAACGACCGCAACACCUGCUCUGCGCUCGUCGCAGCGAGAAAAGUUACCAAAUCCUGAGUCGAACAACCUGGAGAGUCCAAAUUUACGAGCCUACGAAGAACCACUCUUCGUUGCUCGAGAAACGCCACCAUGCCUACAGUGAGUGAGGGCAGGGAUCGAAUCUUCACUGCGCUUGGAAAAACUUAUGGCUUGCAGCUCAAGCAGAGUUGGAGGAUCUGUGUUUUCGUUCUGGGAUUGAGCUCGACGACGUGGUGUUAAACAUUCUAUAUGUUGACCAACCUAUUGGUACAGGUUUCAGCUAUGCAACGGAUGGUACUGAUUUAAGAGAUAAUCAAAUUGACAUUAGCAAUGAUUUGCAUAACUUCUUGCAGUAAAGGAUGUUCUGGGCGCGGAGAAGUCAUUUGCAUCUUUCAGCCACCCGGUAUACGAGGCAUUGAAAGGGGACUGUGUGAAGAAUUCUGAUGAAGGAAAUCCUGCUUUACUUGAUGCGGGAAUCAAACUCUUAAUCUAUGUGGGAGAUGAAGAUCUAAUGUGCGACUGGAUCGGUUAGCGUCACAAUACUCCAAUGCAUGAACAAAUCUCAAUUAAGCUCUUAAUCUGCAUUUUUGCUUGUUCCUAUUUGAACAGGAAAUUUUAGGUGGGUUUUAGAGUUGAAUUGGUCUGGCAAGGAAGGAUUUGCAAGAAGUUUAGUUAUUCAAUUUAUCGUUGAUGAUGAACUAGUAGGAUUAUUGACCAAAUAUGGACCCCUCACUUUCAUGAAGGUUUUUCGAGCUGAUCACAUGGCUCCGAUGGAUCAACCAAAAGCUGCUUUACAUAUGAUACAAAGUUGGAUUGUUAGGGACUUUGACUGACCAUCACUUCAAAUGAUGGCCUUCAUAAUUUCUCAAUUUUUUUUUAUAAAAAGCUUCAUAGAAUUUUUUAUUUUAUUUUAUAAAAAGCUUCAUAGAUUUAUUUUUUUUGUUGAUCUUAGUUAAAGUAGGAUGUAAAUAAAUGUACGACAAGAUCGAGCCUUUAUUGACAAAUUUGUGCAAA
RNA transcript from Tripterygium wilfordii, 1040 nucleotides. It is a transcript of the gene named serine carboxypeptidase-like, with no coding region annotated. The transcript is spliced from 5 exons. The record is from RefSeq and is a predicted model, not a curated record. Lineage: Eukaryota; Viridiplantae; Streptophyta; Magnoliopsida; Celastrales; Celastraceae.